AGGAUUUUGCAAUUGCAGAUCAAUAUGCUGAUGAAGAAGAUUUAAGUGACGGUGAGAGCGGCCGUUGUGGAUGUCUUCCCGAGUGCCACGAAGUUAAUUACGAUGCGGAUGUUGUUACAUCAAAACUUGAUCUGCAAGAAUUUAAGAAAAGAUACAAACAACUCCAAAAUAACAUUAAAAGCUAUACAUAUGAUAACGGUAAUUCACAGAAGAGUUACGAGACCAAGAAGAACAGCACAAAUGACAAAAAUGACACUGAUAUUGAUGUUUUUGCUUCUGAUGAAUUGGUCGGAAUGACAGUGAUCAGGAUCUACUACAGACGGCCCCGCUUCGUGGCCAUGGCGCGCUCGGAGAUGGUUGGGCUGUCACAGUUCUUGGCCGACGUCGGCGGGACGCUCGGACUCUUCCUUGGCUUUUCCUUCCUCACGCUCGCCGAGAUCUUCUACUUCUUCUCGAUCAAAUUGUGUUGCACGUUUCAACAAGAAAACUCAAAGAAAGGUGAAAAUUCAUAAGAUUGACGGUAUCUAGAUCGGUCAUCUAAAAAUACAUUAACAUUAACUACUGUA
Cydia strobilella is the source of this 566-nucleotide long non-coding RNA. RefSeq lists it as uncharacterized. The record is from RefSeq and is a predicted model, not a curated record. The transcript is spliced from 3 exons. Lineage: Eukaryota; Metazoa; Arthropoda; Insecta; Lepidoptera; Tortricidae.